This 104-nucleotide ribosomal RNA is filed under the name uncultured bacterium. RNAcentral describes it as "partial 16S ribosomal RNA". It matches the Rfam family "Bacterial small subunit ribosomal RNA", at positions 1379 to 1482 of the family's 1533-position model. The record is from RNAcentral.
CCUUGUACACACCGCCCGUCACACCAUGGGAGUUGGCUGCAAAAGAAGUGGGUAGUUUAACCUUCGGGAGGACGCUCACCACUUUGUGGUCAAUGACUGGGGUG